This 673-nucleotide ribosomal RNA is filed under the name Paramesotriton chinensis (Chinese warty newt). RNAcentral's name for it is "partial 12S ribosomal RNA". It matches the Rfam family "Bacterial small subunit ribosomal RNA", at positions 523 to 1527 of the family's 1533-position model. The record is from RNAcentral. Lineage: Eukaryota; Metazoa; Chordata; Amphibia; Caudata; Salamandridae.
UUACGAGAAACUCAAAUUAAUAAAGUCGGCUCAAAGGGUGGUUAAACACACAAAUUAAAUAAGGCUAAAAGCUAACUCUGCUGUCGCACGCAAUAGUUAAAAUAAAUUCGACUUCGAAAGUAACCUUACUAAAAUAAGCUUGAACCCACGACAACUAGGAAACAAACUGGGAUUAGAUACCCCACUAUGCCUAGUUAUAAACUUUGACUUAUCCGCCAGAAUACUACGAGCAACAGCUUAAAACUCAAAGGACUUGGCGGUGCUCCACACCCCCCUAGAGGAGCCUGUUCUAUAAUCGAUAUUCCUCGAUAAACCUCACCAUCUAUUGCCAAUACAGCCUAUAUACCACCGUCCAGCCCACCCUUCAAAGGACUAACAGUAGGCACAACUAUAAACAUAAAAACGUCAGGUCAAGGUGUAGCAUAUAAGAUGGGAAGAAAUGGGCUACAUUUUCUAACUUAGAAAAUUACGGAAAAGCUUGUGAAACAAAACUAUAAAGGAGGAUUUAGCAGUAAAAAGAAAAAAGAGUGUUCUUUUUAAACCGGCAAUGGAGCGCGCACACACCGCCCGUCACCCUCUUCAAACAACCAAAGCAAUAAAUAAACAAAUAAACCUAAAAAGAAGAGGCAAGUCGUAACAUGGUAAGUCUACCGGAAGGUGAACUUGGAACAUC